This 484-nucleotide ribosomal RNA is filed under the name uncultured bacterium. Its description in RNAcentral is "partial 16S ribosomal RNA". It matches the Rfam family "Bacterial small subunit ribosomal RNA", at positions 29 to 507 of the family's 1533-position model. The record is from RNAcentral.
AUUGAACGCUGGCGGCAUGCUUUACACAUGCAAGUCGAACGGCAGCGCGGGCUUCGGCCUGGCGGCGAGUGGCGAACGGGUGAGUAAUACAUCGGAACGUGCCCAGUAGUGGGGGAUAGCUCGGCGAAAGCCGGAUUAAUACCGCAUACGACCUGAGGGUGAAAGCGGGGGAUCUUCGGACCUCGCGCUAUUGGAGCGGCCGAUGGCGGAUUAGCUAGUUGGUGGGGUAAAGGCCUACCAAGGCGACGAUCUGUAGCUGGUCUGAGAGGACGACCAGCCACACUGGGACUGAGACACGGCCCAGACUCCUACGGGAGGCAGCAGUGGGGAAUUUUGGACAAUGGGCGAAAGCCUGAUCCAGCAAUGCCGCGUGCGUGAUGAAGGCCUUCGGGUUGUAAAGCACUUUUGGCGGGAACGAAAAGGACUGUGCCAAUACCACGGUUCGAUGACGGUACCCGCAGAAUAAGCACCGGCUAACUACGUG